GUUAAGUCGACCGCCUGGGGAGUACGGCCGCAAGGUUAAAACUCAAAUGAAUUGACGGGGGCCCGCACAAGCGGUGGAGCAUGUGGUUUAAUUCGAUGCAACGCGAAGAACCUUACCUGGUCUUGACAUCCACGGAAGUUUUCAGAGAUGAGAAUGUGCCUUCGGGAACCGUGAGACAGGUGCUGCAUGGCUGUCGUCAGCUCGUGUUGUGAAAUGUUGGGUUAAGUCCCGCAACGAGCGCAACCCUUAUCCUUUGUUGCCAGCGGUCCGGCCGGGAACUCAAAGGAGACUGCCAGUGAUAAACUGGAGGAAGGUGGGGAUGACGUCAAGUCAUCAUGGCCCUUACGACCAGGGCUACACACGUGCUACAAUGGCGCAUACAAAGAGAAGCGACCUCGCGAGAGCAAGCGGACCUCAUAAAGUGCGUCGUAGUCCGGAUUGGAGUCUGCAACUCGACUCCAUGAAGUCGGAAUCGCUAGUAAUCGUGGAUCAGAAUGCCACGGUGAAUACGUUCCCGGGCCUUGUACACACCGCCCGUCACACCAUGGGAGUGGGUUGCAAAAGAAGUAGGUAGCUUAACCUUCGGGAGGGCGCUUACCACUUUGUGAUUCAUGACUGGGGUGAAGUCGUAACAAGGUAACCGUAGGGGAACCUGCGGUUGGAUCACCUCCUUACCUGAAAGAA
This 684-nucleotide ribosomal RNA is filed under the name Escherichia coli. RNAcentral's name for it is "bacterial SSU rRNA". It matches the Rfam family "Bacterial small subunit ribosomal RNA", at positions 859 to 1533 of the family's 1533-position model. The record is from RNAcentral. Lineage: Bacteria; Pseudomonadati; Pseudomonadota; Gammaproteobacteria; Enterobacterales; Enterobacteriaceae.